This is a non-coding RNA of Macaca mulatta (Rhesus monkey), 74 nucleotides long. The record is from Rfam. Lineage: Eukaryota; Metazoa; Chordata; Mammalia; Primates; Cercopithecidae.
GCAAUGCCCUACUUGGAAAGGCACCAGUUACUUAGAUUACACGUAACUGUUCCCUUUCUGAGUAGAGUAAGGCU